CAAAAAAAGUUGCUUUUACAAAUAAAAUAGAUUAUAGCUCCCACUUUUUUGGAAAACUAGAUACUCAAGAGUGCUAACUUGGGCUAGAUCAAAGGUUCAUUUAGAAUUCCUAUUGCUGACUGACCUUUUUGCAGUUGUUCUCUGUAACUAUACUAUUUUUUUCGUACUUGAAGGAACAAGCACAAAAGAGAAAAGAGAAGCGUGAAGAGGAAGAUAGAAAACAGCAAGAAAAGGUUGAUGCUUUGGUAGCACAGCAUACUCAAAUGGCUGAAGAGGCAGAGCAAAUYAGRCGACAAAUUGAGCGAUUCAACAGACGAAAUAAUCAUUUGCC
Exaiptasia diaphana is the source of this 331-nucleotide long non-coding RNA. RefSeq lists it as uncharacterized. The record is from RefSeq and is a predicted model, not a curated record. The transcript is spliced from 2 exons. Lineage: Eukaryota; Metazoa; Cnidaria; Anthozoa; Actiniaria; Aiptasiidae.